GAUUAUGGCUCAGGACGAACGCUGGCGGCGUGCUUAACACAUGCAAGUCGAGCGAUGAAGCUCUUCGGAAGUGGAUUAGCGGCGGACGGGUGAGUAACACGUGGGUAACCUGCCUCAUAGAGGGGAAUAGCCUUCCGAAAGGAAGAUUAAUACCGCAUAAGAUUGUAAUAUCGCAUGAUAUAGCAAUUAAAGGAGCAAUCCGCUAUGAGAUGGACCCGCGUCGCAUUAGCUAGUUGGUGAGGUAACGGCUCACCAAGGCGACGAUGCGUAGCCGACCUGAGAGGGUGAUCGGCCACAUUGGGACUGAGACACGGCCCAGACUCCUACGGGAGGCAGCAGUGGGGAAUAUUGCACAAUGGGGGAAACCCUGAUGCAAGCAACGCCGCGUGAGUGAUGACGGUCUUCGGAUUGUAAAGCUCUGUCUUCAGGGACGAUAAUGACGGUACCUGAGGAGGAAGCCACGGCUAACUACGUGCCAGCCGCCGC
RNAcentral lists this ribosomal RNA (486 nucleotides) under uncultured bacterium. RNAcentral describes it as "bacterial SSU rRNA". It matches the Rfam family "Bacterial small subunit ribosomal RNA", at positions 15 to 518 of the family's 1533-position model. The record is from RNAcentral.